This 420-nucleotide ribosomal RNA is filed under the name Fusobacteriota bacterium. RNAcentral's name for it is "Fusobacteria bacterium partial 16S ribosomal RNA". It matches the Rfam family "Bacterial small subunit ribosomal RNA", at positions 355 to 776 of the family's 1533-position model. Lineage: Bacteria; Fusobacteriati; Fusobacteriota. The record is from RNAcentral.
UGGGGGAUAUUGCACAAUGGGCGAAAGCCUGAUGCAGCGACGCCGCGUGGGGGAUGAAGGCCUUCGGGUUGUAAACUUCUUUUGCUCUGAACAAGGCAUGCCUUUGGGGUGUGUUGAGUGUAGGGGUUGAUUAGCGCCGGCUAACUACGUGCCAGCAGCCGCGGUAAUAAGUAGGGCGCGAGCGUUGUCCGGAAUUAUUGGGCGUAAAGGGCUUGUAGGUGGCUGGUUGCGUCUGUCGUGAAAGCUCAUGGCUUAACUGAGGGUUUGCGGUGGGUACGGGCUGGCUUGAGUGCAGUAGGGGAGGCUGGAAUUCCUGGUGUAGCGGUGGAAUGCGCAGAUAUCAGGAGGAAUACCGGUGGCGAAGGCGGGUCUCUGGGCUGUUACUGACGCUGAGGAGCGAAAGCGUGGGGAGCGAACAGG